Molecule: non-coding RNA, 80 nt
Filed under: Tanticharoenia sakaeratensis
Lineage: Bacteria; Pseudomonadati; Pseudomonadota; Alphaproteobacteria; Acetobacterales; Acetobacteraceae
Also listed under: 1 other name
Source: RNAcentral
UCCGUCGGUCCUCGUGAUUUGAACGGCCGGCUUGCGGCGAGGUGAAACAACAGCGCUAAAGAGGCUCCCUGGGCGGCGUC